AGUCACUACAAGAACUAUAGCAAAAAGAAUGAAAGAGCAUAAAGAGGAUAUCUCGCACGCUAAGCUUACAACAGCCCUAGCAUGUGAGGCAUAUAGUAGGAAUAUCACUGUAAAAUGGGACGACGUUAAAUGCAUUGGACAGCUGAGGAGGGGUGUGCAGCCGAAUGUGGUGGAGUCGGUGGAGGUCUUAAGGAGAGCACGGAGGGAGGGGUUAAUUAGUGACAGGUUGGCUUGGGAACCAUCAAAGGCAUGGAGUUGUCUGCUUAAUAGAAGAAGGGUUGAUUGAGGGGGAGACUGUGUAACGGAGUUGCAAACUUCUAGCUUGCAACAGGUUU
RNAcentral lists this long non-coding RNA (335 nucleotides) under Androctonus crassicauda. The record is from RNAcentral. Lineage: Eukaryota; Metazoa; Arthropoda; Arachnida; Scorpiones; Buthidae.